CAUUCCUGCUCCUACAAGCAUAGAACGAGCAUCUGCAAGUCAGAUCGGUUUGAAGAAUUUGAUAAGUGAAAGGCAGAGCGUCCAUUGUCUUGCUGCCCUUGUCUCCAUGUGUUGUCGUCAAAGCAAGUUUUGAGAUGCAAGAGGAACAUGCUGCUGGUGACUCCUCUGAAGUCAAGGGACGCUGUUUGGUCUACAAGAAAAAAAAAGAAUCCCGGUAUGCAGCAUGUGAGACACUCUGAGAGAGAUGUUGUUGCUCAUGACGGUGAAGAGGUUCUGUGUUGUUUCAAAAUGCCCUCUAGCGGCUAUGUGGUGCAUUGAUGGCGGUUCUACUGCUCCUAGGCUUGCCGAUGCCUCCCGCGCUCCUCAUGUGGCUGUAGGCUUGGGUGGCCAUGGCUUUGACCUCCUCGGCGUGGCAGCCGUGCGUCCCAGCCUUGGCUACAAGAUCUCCGGAGUCUGGUGAGCUGU
Molecule: long non-coding RNA, 465 nt
Organism: Lolium rigidum
Lineage: Eukaryota; Viridiplantae; Streptophyta; Magnoliopsida; Poales; Poaceae
Exons: 3
Source: RefSeq, a predicted model, not a curated record